UUUCCGCUGUUUCUUUUUUCUACUACCAAAGCCCUGAAAAACUUCCUCAGUUCCCCCAAAACUCCUAUGUGGUUAGGACCAUUUCACAUGGAUACCUAAUUUAAUGAUGUAAUUGUUAUAAGUGCUCUUUGGGGAACUAAUGGACCUGAGCGAAGUUCCCAUUCCGGCAUUCUCUUGCAUUCGUAUGACAGUGGGUGCUACACGGCAGAUGAUUUUUCACCAUCUACCAUAAUGUGGAUGAACAAACAAUUUGUAUUUUAUCUUCUGCUUUUGUCAGCUUUUAUGAGCAAGACGAUAUAUGGACAAAGAAAGAAAGGAUCAAAGUCCAAUUUACUUGCAAGAAGAAAUCAUCUCCAGGAUUCCACUUGCUUCAUAGAUCUUAUUUUCAUCGUGGACAGCUCUGAAAGUUCUAAAAUUUUUCUCUUUGACAAACAGAAAGAUUUUGUGGAUAGCUUGAGUGAUAAGCUUUUCCAAUUGACCCCAGUUGGCUCCUUGAAAUAUGACAUCAAACUGGCAGCCCUUCAGUUUAGCAGCUCUGUCCAAAUUGAUCCACCUUUCUCCUCGUGGAAGGAUCUACACACUUUUAAACAGAGGGUGAAGUCUAUGAAUUUCAUUGGGCAAGGUACUUUCUCUUACUAUGCCAUUGCCAAUGCCACGAGGCUCCUUAAGAGAGAAGGGCGUAAAGACAGUGUGAAAGUGGCUUUGCUGAUGACUGAUGGCAUUGACCAUCCGAAGAAUCCAGAUGUUCAGAGUAUUUCUGAAGAUGCCCGAAAUGCAGGAAUAAUAUUUAUCACCAUUGGACUUUCUACUGUGGUCAAUGAAACCAAGCUUCAUUUGAUAUCUGGGAAUUCACCUGGUGAACCUAUUCUACUGUUGAAUGAUUCAACCCUGGUAGAUAAAAUUCAGAAUCGCCUGGAUACCUUAUUUGAAAAGAAGUGUGAACGCAAGAUUUGUGAAUGUGAGAAGGGGGAUCCAGGCGAUCCAGGGCCUCCUGGUACACAUGGAAACCCAGGUAUCAAAGGUGAGCGAGGACCAAAAGGAAACCCGGGUGAUGCUCAAAAAGGGGAACCUGGAGAAAGAGGCCCAGGGGGAAUCCCUGGGUACAAGGGUGAGAAGGGUGAACUCGGAGAAUGUGGCAAACCAGGAGUUAAAGGUGACAAAGGAUCUCCAGGGCCAUAUGGACCAAAGGGUCCCAGAGGACUUCAGGGCGUUACUGGACCUCCAGGGGAUCCAGGCCCAAGGGGGUUUCAAGGCAACAAGGGGGAGCCUGGUCCUCCUGGUCCUUAUGGUCCUCCAGGAGCCCCUGGUAUUGGUCAGCAAGGUAUUAAGGGGGAAAGAGGCCAGGAAGGAAGAACAGGGGCUCCAGGACCGAUUGGUGUUGGUGAGCCAGGCCAGACAGGUCCCCGUGGUCCUGAGGGAGCACCAGGAGAGAGGGGCUUACCAGGAGAAGGAUUUCCAGGGCCAAAGGGUGAAAAAGGUUCUGAAGGACCAGUUGGCCCACAAGGAUUACAAGGCCCAUCAAUCAAAGGGGACAAGGGGGAUCUGGGACCUGUAGGACCCCAAGGACCAAUGGGCAUCCCUGGAAUUGGCAGUCAAGGGGAACAGGGAAUCCAAGGUCCUAUUGGUCCACCUGGUCCACAAGGGCCCCCAGGACAAGGCUUACCUGGUCCCAAGGGAGAAGUAGGCCAGAUAGGACCUACAGGUCCUAGAGGACCAGUGGGAGUUGGAGUACAAGGUCCAAAGGGGGAGCCAGGCUCAACAGGACUCCCAGGACAGCCAGGAGUACCAGGAGAAGAUGGAGCAGCAGGCAAGAAGGGAGAAGCAGGGCUUCCAGGAGCAAGAGGCCCUGAAGGACCACCUGGAAAAGGACAACCUGGUCUCAAGGGGGAUGAAGGAAAGAAAGGGAGCAAAGGAAAUCAAGGACAGAGGGGAUUUCCUGGGCCAGAAGGACCGAAGGGUGAUCCAGGAAUUAUGGGCCCUUUUGGAAUGCCUGGAGCAUCAAUUCCUGGACCACCUGGGCCAAAGGGAGAUAGAGGAGGACCUGGGAUGCCUGGAUUGAAAGGAGAACCUGGAAUUGCUAUCCGAGGACCAAAGGGUGCCCAAGGCCCUCAGGGACCAGUGGGUGCUCCAGGACUCAAAGGCGACGGCUAUCCUGGUGUGGCUGUAAGUGUGGACCUUGCUUUAUUACCACCCCCCUUCUUUUCCUCUUUUCCUUCUUCCUUCCUCCCCUUCCCUUCCUUUCAUCCCUUCCUCCCUUUCUCUCUCCCUUCCUCCCUUCUUUUAUCUUUUUCUCUCUUCCUCUCUUUCUUUUCUUUCUUCUCCCUCCCUUCCUUCCUUUCUCUCUCUCCUUUCCUUCCUUUUCUUUUCUCUCUCUCUUUUUCUUCCUGCACGCAAGAUUUCUCCAAGGUUGAUCUCUUUCCCUUACUGCCAUCUCAGGGCCCACGAGGAUUACCAGGACCUCCUGGACCAAUGGGUUUACGUGGAGUUGGAGACACUGGAGCCAAGGGAGAGCCUGGUGUCAGAGGCCUUCCAGGCCCUUCUGGGCCUCGGGGUAUAGGAAUUCAAGGGCCAAAGGGUGAUACUGGGCAGAAAGGCUUGCCUGGCCCUCCUGGCCCCCCUGGCUAUGGAUUACAAGGAAUCAAAGGGGAGCAAGGACCUCGAGGCUUUCCAGGGUCAAAGGGCAUGACAGGCCUUGGCCUCCCUGGCCAGAAGGGAGAGCAUGGAGAACGGGGCGAUGUGGGAAAGAAAGGUGAUAAAGGGGAAAUUGGAGAUCCCGGAUCUCAAGGAAAACAGGCAAGAAGUGAUUUUUAA
Molecule: long non-coding RNA, 2811 nt
Filed under: Sus scrofa (pig)
Lineage: Eukaryota; Metazoa; Chordata; Mammalia; Artiodactyla; Suidae
Description: lncRNA (ENSSSCG00065030566.1)
Source: RNAcentral